RNAcentral lists this non-coding RNA (313 nucleotides) under Clostridiaceae bacterium BL-3. Its description in RNAcentral is "T-box". It matches the Rfam family "T-box leader". From Rfam's summary of the family: Uncharged tRNA acts as the effector for transcription antitermination of genes in the T-box leader family. Lineage: Bacteria; Bacillati; Bacillota; Clostridia; Eubacteriales; Clostridiaceae. The record is from RNAcentral.
CUAAAACUUAUGAGAAGAAAGAGUAGGUAGAGGAAUUUAGUUCAAGCGAGUUCGGGGCAGUGUGAGCCGAAUGCUGUAGCCUGUAUUGAAUGGGUCUUCGAGGUGCCCUGCGAAAUGAUAGUAGCAGGAGACGGUAGUCUACCGUUAAAAGGACAGGGUAUCGAGUAAAAUCCGUACCUGAAUGAGAUAGUUUGUAGAUAGGUGGUACAGCGAAAUUUUGCAUUUCGUCCUUUUGGAUGGAAUGCUUUUUUAUUUCUCAAAAUCUGUUUUACAAAUUAAUAAUGGGUGGCACCGCGGUCAUUUCGUCCCAGUU